GGGCCCGCACAAGCGGUGGAGCAUGUGGUUUAAUUCGAAGAUACGCGCAGAACCUUACCAACACUUGACAUGUUCGUCGCGACUCUAAGAGAUUAGAGUUUUCGGUUCGGCCGGACGAAACACAGGUGCUGCAUGGCUGUCGUCAGCUCGUGUCGUGAGAUGUUGGGUUAAGUCCCGCAACGAGCGCAACCCUCACUUUUAGUUGCCAUCAUUUAGUUGGGCACUCUGAAAGAACUGCCAGUGAUAAGCUGGAGGAAGGUGGGGAUGACGUCAAGUCCUCAUGGCCCUUACGUGUUGGGCUACACACGUGCUACAAUGGUAUCUACAACAGGAAGCAAAAACUGCGAAGUUAAGCAAAUCCUUAAAAGAUACCUCAGUUCGGAUUGCACUCUGCAACUCGAGUGCAUGAAGCUGGAAUU
Molecule: ribosomal RNA, 419 nt
Filed under: uncultured bacterium
Lineage: Bacteria
Description: bacterial SSU rRNA
Rfam family: Bacterial small subunit ribosomal RNA
Source: RNAcentral